This is a long non-coding RNA of Brienomyrus brachyistius, 147 nucleotides long. RefSeq lists it as uncharacterized. The record is from RefSeq and is a predicted model, not a curated record. The transcript is spliced from 3 exons. Lineage: Eukaryota; Metazoa; Chordata; Actinopteri; Osteoglossiformes; Mormyridae.
AGACAUGGGGAUGACCUGAUUGUAACACCCUUUGCUCAGGUGCUUGCGAGCCUUCGUAGCGUGAGGAACAACUUCACCGUGCUGACCAAUGUGCAGUGUGGCUCCAGCAAGAGGUCCCCUGCAGCCCCCCAGCCCCCUGUCACCACC